This 254-nucleotide ribosomal RNA is filed under the name uncultured bacterium. RNAcentral describes it as "partial 16S ribosomal RNA". It matches the Rfam family "Bacterial small subunit ribosomal RNA", at positions 524 to 776 of the family's 1533-position model. The record is from RNAcentral.
UACGGGGGGGGCGAGCGUUGUUCGGAAUUACUGGGCGUAAAGGGCGCGUAGGCGGCCUCCGCAAGUCAGUUGUGAAAUCUCCGAGCUUAACUCGGAAAGGUCAACUGAUACUGCGGGGCUAGAGUGCGGAAGGGGCAACUGGAAUUCUUGGUGUAGCGGUGAAAUGCGUAGAUAUCAAGAGGAACACCUGCGGCGAAGGCGGGUUGCUGGGCCGACACUGACGCUGAGGCGCGAAAGCUAGGGGAGCGAACGGG